CAAUAGCGUAUAUUAAAGUUGUUGCGGUUAAAAAGCUCGUAGUUGGAUUUCUGCUGAGAACGACCGGUCCGCCCUUUGGGUGUGUAUCUGGCUCUUUCUUGGCAUCUUCUUGGUGAACGUUGCUGCACUUGACUGUGUGGAGCGCUACCCAGGACUUUUACUUUGAGGAAAUUAGAGUGUUUCAAGCAGGCAUACGCCUUGAAUACAUUAGCAUGGAAUAAUAAGAUAGGACCUCGGUUCUAUUUUGUUGGUUUCUAGGAUCGCCGUAAUGAUUAAUAGGGACGGUUGGGGGCAUUAGUAUUCAGUUGCUAGAGGUGAAAUUCUUAGAUUUACUGAAGACUAACUACUGCGAAAGCAUUUGCCAAGGACGUUUUCAUUAA
This 380-nucleotide ribosomal RNA is filed under the name uncultured eukaryote. Its description in RNAcentral is "partial 18S ribosomal RNA". It matches the Rfam family "Eukaryotic small subunit ribosomal RNA", at positions 592 to 976 of the family's 1831-position model. The record is from RNAcentral.